Molecule: long non-coding RNA, 1869 nt
Organism: Junco hyemalis (dark-eyed junco)
Lineage: Eukaryota; Metazoa; Chordata; Aves; Passeriformes; Passerellidae
Source: Ensembl
AUUUGGAGCUUUAUUAUAAAAUGGAGAGGAACACAAUGCAAGGUAUCACACAGGACGAAAUAAAAAAGACACAUUUGGGAGAAUUUCACCUCUACACUUUCCAAACCAACAAAAUCCAAGCAUGAAAGAUCAAGAAAUUUAAGCAAUAUUUUUUGGCCAUUGUGUCAUAGUUGGCCAGUUUCUUUCAUAGCCUCCACUGUAAAUUCCUUACCCAAUUCCCCUGCAAUCUCCACACCUCCUAGAUUAGAGAGUGUGCAGUCAGCACUCCUCCAAAGCCCUUCCCACAUGCCACUUGCUGGGGACUGUUGGGACAUUUGCCCAUUUUAGGGAGAAGGACACGCUGCUCACGGACACCUGUGGGUGAGCUGUGCUCCCUGAGCAGGCCUGCACAGCCUGUUGGACGGGACACUCGCCUUCCUGCUGAGCAAACACAGAAAAUCAAAGUGGCUUCUCACAGCGCCCAAGUUACUCACUGCUGCUCAGGGGAUGACAGGAGGAGCUCUCACAGACCUGAGGGGCUGGGAGCGGUGCAUCACUGACUGCCACAGCACUUGUGACCCACAGUCCCUGGCUGUGGCCAAGCCAUCGGUCAGAACACAAACCAGGCUCAGGUUCUGUCACUAAGCAUGAGGUACAACUCCACAGACUUCAGCUGACUGAUCAGAUUCAGUACAGGGCCUCCUGCCCUUCAGUGAGGCUGAGAUCCCAGUGCCUUCAGAAGGCAGUCCAGCUCAGCCUGCCUCAGAGAGGUGUCUCAUGCAGGAAGGAUCAAUCUUUCUUCAGAGCUACUCAUUUCCCAAAGUUUAUUGGAGACAGCCAGGACAACUUGUUCAGAAGGGUCCCACCUUUCAGGAGUCAUGCUGCAGCUCUAUUAGCAUCGCUGGAUACACAGUUCUGCAUCUGCUGUGCCAGACUCUUUCAAGUAAACUGACAGAGAAGAUCUACUUUUAGACAGAGUUUUCUGCUCUGUUUCCUUUUCUCUGAUGGAAGGGCUCCCAAAACAGCAUCCAGAAAAGAGGAAGCAGCCUUUGAUUUCUGUGCCUUCAGUUUUCUAAUCAGAACCCCAAACUAGGAUGACAGGAAAUAGGGUGCUCCAUUCCACAGCUACAUGGCUGCAGCAAUACUGCUGGGAGAAAGUUGAAGAUUUUAUUACACAUAUCUAGGUCACAAGGUCAAAAGUAAUAUGCUUAUGCUGGGAGGGGAGGUAACCCAAGUGCCUCUGGAUAAUAUGAUUUCAUGAUGGCAGGCAAUCUUCCAGAUUUCACUGAGUUUCUUGAGAAAUACUGGUUGGCAAUCAAGUAUAUGUUUCCACACCUCCUCCUUACUGCACAGCAACUUGUAUUUUAGGUUUUUGAAAAGAUCUAAUCCCUCUCAUCCAGGUAAAAUGAUGUAGCAUAUUUGACUUCCUCCUUUACUAAAAAGGAAUUUAGAAGCCAGGCUACACAAAGCAGGGUUUUAACCACCUCUGUUUCUGACCUUUCAGGAGAGUACAAGCAAGCUGAUCCUCUACUGUGUUUCCUCUACCACACACUGGUUUCUCUAUUUACAUCACAACCUCUUUGUGCAGUGUAAUUGUCUAGCACAAUGGGGCCCUCAGUGGGAACCUCAAGGUAUUUCCAUCAUAAGAAUAACAAACAACAGCAAGGAAGAAGAACAAAAGGAGAAACACUGCGAUUACAAGAAUAGGUCCAACCUUCAUCAGACUGAAGAGUUUCAGGAUUUGGGACAUUUCAAAACUGGAGACAGAAGCAAAUGAGAGGAUCCAACACUGGCUUUUAUCUUGAGCUGUGAUGUGUACCUCCAAAGAAUCGUGGCAUGCCCUGUAUGCAUUGCUUCUAUUGUUAGAACAUAUCAAAGUGAGAGUACAGU